This 461-nucleotide ribosomal RNA is filed under the name Salmonella enterica subsp. enterica serovar Bareilly. RNAcentral's name for it is "partial 23S ribosomal RNA". It matches the Rfam family "Bacterial large subunit ribosomal RNA", at positions 1175 to 1637 of the family's 2925-position model. The record is from RNAcentral. Lineage: Bacteria; Pseudomonadati; Pseudomonadota; Gammaproteobacteria; Enterobacterales; Enterobacteriaceae.
ACGGGGCUAAACCAUGCACCGAAGCUGCGGCAGCGACGUUUAUGCGUUGUUGGGUAGGGGAGCGUUCUGUAAGCCUGCGAAGGUGGCCUGUGAGGGUUGCUGGAGGUAUCAGAAGUGCGAAUGCUGACAUAAGUAACGAUAAAGCGGGUGAAAAGCCCGCUCGCCGGAAGACCAAGGGUUCCUGUCCAACGUUAAUCGGGGCAGGGUGAGUCGACCCCUAAGGCGAGGCCGAAAGGCGUAGUCGAUGGGAAACGGGUUAAUAUUCCCGUACUUGGUGUUACUGCGAAGGGGGGACGGAGAAGGCUAUGUUGGCCGGGCGACGGUUGUCCCGGUUUAAGCGUGUAGGCUGGUUUUCCAGGCAAAUCCGGAAAAUCAAGGCUGAGGCGUGACGACGAGGCACUACGGUGCUGAAGCAACAAAUGCCCUGCUUCCAGGAAAAGCCUCUAAGCAUCAGGUAACAU